Heterocephalus glaber (naked mole-rat) is the source of this 68-nucleotide small nucleolar RNA. Ensembl annotates it as small nucleolar RNA, C/D box 104. Its record names the gene SNORD104. The record is from Ensembl. Lineage: Eukaryota; Metazoa; Chordata; Mammalia; Rodentia; Bathyergidae.
GCCGUGAUGAUAUAAAUGAAAGCACGUGUUAGACUGCUGACGAGGGUGAUGCGAACUGGAAUCUGAGC